Molecule: long non-coding RNA, 2585 nt
Filed under: Salmo salar (Atlantic salmon)
Lineage: Eukaryota; Metazoa; Chordata; Actinopteri; Salmoniformes; Salmonidae
Description: lncRNA (ENSSSAG00000107738.1)
Source: RNAcentral
CCAGAGGACACUUGUGGUAGAGCAACUAACUAACUAAUACCAUCGUGUUCAUGAGAGUCUCAUCUUUCCAUCAAGUGGUCAUGUUAGUUUCUAGGCCAAACUGUUCGGCCGCUAGAGUGGUUUUCGUGAGAAGAUAUUCAGGAUGUCUCACAGUGGGACAAACACCGCUGUAGCUUGCCCACCUUCCACCGCAGAUGCAGAAGGCCUUAUGGCGGCUACACGGUUUACGUGUGUAUAUUUACCCGCCUGAAACCCUGGGCUACACAGUUGUUACAGUACACAUUUGAUAGACUUUAUGUUCCUGUUCAAUACUAAUGGAAAUGCUGAUUUUAUACAAAGGUUCUUCUGGCCUUGAUGACACCAAGAGGUUGGCGCCAAACUAAAGAACAGGGCUACCGCACACAAAGCUAUCGUAGACAACCCUGAUGCUACGCUCGAAGACAGGAAUAAGUACAAAAAGGCCUGCUAUAACCUCCGCAGUGUAAUCAAAUGAGCAAAAGAACAAUAUAGGAAUAAUAUUUCACAGGCUCUGACGCCCGCUGCAUGUGGCAGGGGCUACAGUCCAUUACGGAUUACAAGGGAAGACCCAACCGUGAUCUGCCCAAUGACGCCUCUACCAGACGAACACAACGCAUUUUAUACACGCUUUGACAACAACAACAUCGAGCCGGGUGUGAGGGCCGUCACCCACCCAGAGGUUUGGGUGAUCUCGCUCUCACAACAUGGUAUUCCAGGGCACGUUCUCAGAGCAUGCGCAGAACAGCUGGCAGGCAUAUUCACAGUCAUUUUCAACCUCUCAUGGUGGUUGAUGGUUGAUGGAGUUGCAAGGCAUAGAGCAAGGGUGUGCCUGGAUGAUUGGAGUGCAGUUGUGAGGAGCCUUUUGAUUUGUACCCACCUCCUAAGGAUAAGGAGUCUCUUCGGCUUUGGCUCAAAGCAUUGAACUUGAAGAAACCACCAAACCGUGUGUGUGUUCCUGUCACUUCGUGGACAAGAGGCCGACUGAAGAGCAUCCUUUCACUGAGAAGUGGUUGGGCUAUUUUGCUCCAGUACAGACCAGAUGGCGACGUCUCAUCAGGACAUCAACAAAUACAGAUGAAGACAACUGUGAUGAUGCAGAGUCUGAUCUGAGUGUGCCAAUGCAGCAUAAAGAUGCUGAUACUCAAUGGGAGGUUCCAGCACUGACUGAUCACAGCUACAUGUCAAGAGAACCAGUCAACAAGCCCACCUGCCACAAACAAACCCAAUUUUAUUUUACUAGGCAAGUCAGUUAAGAACAAAUUCUUAUAUUCAAUGACAGCCUAGGAACAGUGGGUUAACUGCCUUGUUCAGGGGAAGAACAACAGAUUUGUACCUUGUCAGCUCAGGGAUUCAAACUUGCAACCUUUCAGUUACUAAUCCAACACUCUAACCACUAGGCUACCCUGCCACCCAAUGUGGUAGUGCAGAGCCAUUGACCCAUACCAUCCUGAAGAAUGACACUAGAUCAGUGUUGUAUACUGGCCUUAGUGUUUUCUUUGACCAUGUAGAAUUUCUGAAGAAAUUCUACACGGCUAACUUCAAAAUGCAUAUCACUGAUCAAAUACUGAUAAACUUUAUGAAGCUGAAUCUACUCCAGGGUGAUCUUGCUGAAGGCUUUGCUGUGUCCCAGGGAGUAGUGAGCAGAAUCUUUUCCUACUGGAUUGACACAAUGGAGGAGCACAUGAGGAUCUACAUUCCAUGACUGCCGAGGGAGACAAUCCAGAACACAAUGCCUCAGUGCUUUAAAGAGAAGUUCCAAAACACUGCAUGCAUCAUCGACUGCUAUGAAACCACUCUUCAGAAAGCACACAAUAUCGAUUCCAUAGGGAGGUCAUACAGCCACUAUUAUUCCAGCAAUACUAUCAAGUAUUUGGUUGUCAUUGCUCCAUGUGGACUCAUUAUGUUAAUUUCUCCUGCAUAUGGAGGCAGAUGUAUGAGACGAAGGUAAACCUUGCCAUACCAGCCUUCACUCAGAAAGGAGGCCAGCUGUCUGACGAGGAUGUCACAAGCACGACAAGGAUAGCUAAUGGGCGUAUACAUGUUGAGAGAGUUAUCAAACGACACAAGGUGUUCAAGAAUCCUCUCCCAGACUGUUCCCAUCAACCUGACACACAAAAUGGACAAAGUCCUUAGAAUCUGUGCAGCACUUGUUAACAUGCAGGUUGAGAUCAUCCAUGAGAAUGCAGAGUGAGCAGUGAGAAUGUUCAUACAUCUGAAAUGUGACUUUAUACACUUUAAUGUGUUGUGUGUUUGUGUGUAUGUAUGUAUGUAUGUAUGUAUGUAUGUGUGUGUGUAUAUAUAUAUAUAGUUUCCUGUUUAAUCGGAAUCAUUUUAAUGUUCCUACAUUUGAAAUAUACUGUAACUUUGCCUGUUCCUAAUAAUUACAGGAAUCCACUAGGUGCCGCUAUCAUGCCUUCUUAAAUCUAUUUUAAAUACAUUUUCUUCAACAUCAAAAUGUCUCUAACAGACCAAGAGGGAAGACAACUGUUUAUCAAGUGCCACACUGUUUUGUUCAUUUGUGCUCUUGAAAACCAAACCCAGAAUCAAACUGAAAACACAUUUGAAAC